Molecule: RNA transcript, 1341 nt
Organism: Erigeron canadensis
Lineage: Eukaryota; Viridiplantae; Streptophyta; Magnoliopsida; Asterales; Asteraceae
Gene name: translin-associated protein X
Exons: 9
Source: RefSeq, a predicted model, not a curated record
AGUUUUCAUGCCCAAAAGUAAAUGGUGUGGGUAUUGGGUGGGGUUUUAGCAAAACAUUAAACUGCAGACUAUCUGAUGAUGUUGUUGCACCGGUCCUUAAUAUUACACAGAAGAAACUUUUUGUAUUUCAUGGCAUCAUCUGCAGCUCCAAAUUCUCACCACAUCCGUAAACUUACAGAAACAACAAUGCAAGACAGCAGGGGUAAAAAAGCUAGGUCAAUAUCUACUGAAGCAGCUUCUUUUUCACCCUCUUCUUCUUCAAUGAAAGAGUCUUUCUCACAAUACGCUGAAUACCUCAAUAAAUUCAACGACAAGAGGGAACGUCUAGUGAAAGCUAGUCGUGAUAUUACCAUCAAUAGCAAAAAGGUUAUAUUUCAAGUGCACAGAAUCAGCAAAAACAACAAAGAGGAGGUCUUGGAGAAGGCAGAAAAAGAUCUUUCUGCUGUUAAAGAUCAGUAUAUAGCCCGGCUAGUAAAUGAAUUGCAAGGGAGUGAUUAUUGGAAGCUAAGGCGUGCAUACUCUCCUGGGAUACAAGAAUAUAUUGAAGCUGCAACGUUAUGUAAGUUUUGCACUACUGGUGCUUUGUUGAAUCUUGAAGAGAUAAACGCCAUCUUGUUACCGCUAAGUGAUCCUUCUUUGGAGCCAUUUCAAAUAAAUAUCCUUGACUAUAUAUUGGGUCUUGCUGAUCUGACUGGAGAGUUGAUGAGGUUGGCAAUUGGUCGGAUAUCAGAUGGGGAACUUGCAUAUGCAGAAAAGAUAUGCAGAUUCGUGCGUGAAAUUUAUAGAGAACUUACACUUGUUGCUCCUAAAAUGGAUGAUAGUUUAGAUAUGAAAACAAAGAUGGAUGUCAUGCUUCAGAGUGUAAUGAAAAUAGAAAAUGCUUGCUACAGUGUUCAUGUGAGAGGGUCCGAAUAUAUCCCCCUAAUUGGAACAAAUGAUACAAGCUAUGCCUCAUUGGGAAUGUCCGAGUUUGACUAAUGAAUUCUAUGUGAAUCAAUCUUUUUGACGAGUCUUGUGCAUCUCCAUCAAGUUGACUUGUUGUUUUAACAAUGUGGUCUUCAGUAGAUAUGCUAGUGCGUUGUGUUUCUACUGAUAAUGUUUCAUGCUUAGAUUAUACAACUAGAAAUGGCAAGGUGGACGUGUUGGCUGGCUUGAUUUACAUCUGAAAUAGGUUCAGGUUGAAAUGGUUUCUUUUAGGGUUAAAAGAAACUGGAUUGUGCUGUGUUGAACCAAUAGCAGUGUUUUUCUUGUUACCCGAAUAAAUAUAAAUAGGUAAUACGUUAAAUGAAUGGUGUAUACGAAUAGUUAUAUAUAUCUCUGAAUAAGCAAUUUAUGGGGUUU